ACAUCCAUUCUUUAAUGCAGUAAUUUCAAAGUUACUACCUUUAUUCUCUAUCUCUCUCUCUUUUUAAUUAUAAUAACAUAAUAACAAUUAUUAUUACUAUUACUACCACUUUGCAGUCAUUUAUAUUAGCAUGCUUAAGUAAUGUAAUGACAAUCGAAACAUCAUCUCGUCUGCUUUAUAUUAGCAGUCACACACAGGUAGAAAUUCAAUUAUCCUGUGUUUUUUUUUUUUUUUUUGUAUGAAGAUAAUUUAAUGUUUGGUUGACGAAUUUUUCUCUAUUGGUAAAAGCAGAUCCUUAUCAUUCUGAAAGAAAUGGGCUAUAUAUUGGCAAAGGAAAAGCAAUGUUGUCAAGGUCUAGAAUCUUCCGUGUGCAGCAAGGGGUUGCUGUGGAUAUGUGUGAAAGAGUAUUCAAACUCCCUUCAUUUUAUGUCUUCCCUGGCAGGGAUUAAAAGCAGGUACGAAAAAACAGAAAUACGACAAGAUCAGUGAAAAGAAGAUGCUUACUCCUAUAGAGCAACCAAGUGGGAAACCAGUUCUAAAUCCUGGGCCAUCUGCAAAGAGAAUAGAGAGACCUUCAGGCUCCCGACUCUCUCUGCUUAACAGAAGCUGCUGGAGCACACCACACCGGUGGAGCACUCUCUCCAUUCCAUUAAGUUGUUGGAGCAUGUUGGUACGAGUCACAGCAGUGCGAGUCAUGGUGCUCUGUCUUCCUCACACAAGUCACAUCAGUAUCUCCUCUGCUGGAAGGAAGAACCCAGGCAAGAACAUCUCUGUGAGGUAUUUUUUAUGGAGAUUUCAAUUUAGUAUCACAUAAUCAAU
RNA transcript from Humulus lupulus (European hop), 819 nucleotides. RefSeq lists it as uncharacterized. The record is from RefSeq and is a predicted model, not a curated record. Lineage: Eukaryota; Viridiplantae; Streptophyta; Magnoliopsida; Rosales; Cannabaceae. The transcript is spliced from 4 exons.